UACAUAGGGGGCAAGCGUUAUCCGGAAUUAUUGGGCGUAAAGGGUGCGUAGGUGGUUAAUUAAGUCUUUGGUAUAAGUGCAGUGCUCAACGCUGUGACGCUAAAGAAACUGGUUGACUUGAGUGUAGUAGAGGCAAGUGGAAUUCCAUGUGUAGCGGUAAAAUGCGUAAAUAUAUGGAGGAACACCGGUGGCGAAGGCGGCUUGCUGGGCUAUAACUGACACUGAGGCACGAAAGCGUGGGGAGCAAACAGGAUUAGAUACCCUGGUAGUCCACGCCGUAAACGAUGAGUACUAAGUGUAGGGGAAACUCUGUGCUGUAGUUAACGCAAUAAGUACUCCGCCUGAGUAGUACGUACGCAAGUAUGAA
Molecule: ribosomal RNA, 367 nt
Filed under: uncultured bacterium
Lineage: Bacteria
Description: bacterial SSU rRNA
Rfam family: Bacterial small subunit ribosomal RNA
Source: RNAcentral